CCCAGUGUUCAGACUACCUGUUCAUUAGGCUAUAGGUGUACAGUAGUCUGCACAUUGGUUA
Molecule: microRNA precursor, 61 nt
Filed under: Lepisosteus oculatus (spotted gar)
Lineage: Eukaryota; Metazoa; Chordata; Actinopteri; Semionotiformes; Lepisosteidae
Description: Loc-Mir-199-P3-v2_pre stem-loop
Rfam family: mir-199 microRNA precursor family
About the family: This family consists of the microRNA (miRNA) precursor mir-199 which appears to be specific to humans.
Source: RNAcentral